UAACAUGGUGAUGGCUGGCAGAAGGAUCCCCAAGAGGAACAGACAAAUUAGGAUUCCCAUGAUUAACAGACACACAUUCAUCACCAGUGGAGAUAUGAGCAGCUGCAGGUUUCCUUCCCUUGUUGUAAUUUAUGUUUUGAGGAAACCCAUGGAUCUUGUAGCACUUAUCAAUUAAGUGACUAGAUUUCUUGCAAUAUCUGCAAAAUAAGGGCCCUCUGCUUUGCUCAAAAUUAAUUCUGGGUCUGAAAAAAGGGGGUCUAGGCAUUGUGGCCUGGCUAGACCCAACUGAGUGCUUGUUUGCAUGAGCAUUAAAAGACAUAGAGUCUGGACUGAUUUGAG
This 339-nucleotide long non-coding RNA is filed under the name Nicotiana benthamiana. Its description in RNAcentral is "long non-coding RNA (NBEN_LNC006772)". The record is from RNAcentral. Lineage: Eukaryota; Viridiplantae; Streptophyta; Magnoliopsida; Solanales; Solanaceae.